ACCUUCAGCCGUAUUGCACUGACUGUACCCAAUUUCAUCUGGGCUUGAAAGCUAAGUAGUUCUGGACCUUGCAAGUACUUGCAUGGGGGACCACCUGGGACUCCUAGCUGCUGCUGGUU
RNAcentral lists this ribosomal RNA (119 nucleotides) under Sphenodon punctatus (tuatara). Lineage: Eukaryota; Metazoa; Chordata; Lepidosauria; Sphenodontia; Sphenodontidae. The record is from RNAcentral.